Molecule: ribosomal RNA, 452 nt
Filed under: uncultured bacterium
Lineage: Bacteria
Description: bacterial SSU rRNA
Rfam family: Bacterial small subunit ribosomal RNA
Source: RNAcentral
GAACGGUAGCACAUAUAGCUUGCUCUUGGGUGACUAGUGGCGGACGGGUGAGUAAUGUCUGGGAAACUGCCCGAUGGAGGGGGGUAACUACUGGAAACGGUAGCUAAUACCGCAUAACGUCUUCGGACCAAAGUGGGGGACCUUCGGGCCUCACACCAUCGGAUGUGCCCAGAUGGGAUUAGCUAGUAGGUGGGGUAAUGGCUCACCUAGGCGACGAUCCCUAGCUGGUCUGAGAGGAUGACCAGCCACACUGGAACUGAGACACGGUCCAGACUCCUACGGGAGGCAGCAGUGGGGAAUAUUGCACAAUGGGCGCAAGCCUGAUGCAGCCAUGCCGCGUGUAUGAAGAAGGCCUUCGGGUUGUAAAGUACUUUCAGCGGGGAGGAAGGCGAUGAGGUUAAUAACCUUAUCGAUUGACGUUACCCGCAGAAGAAGCACCGGCUAACUCCGUG